GACGAACGCUGGCGGCGUGCCUAAUACAUGCAAGUCGAACGCUGAAGGAGGAGCUUGCUUCUCCGGAUAAGUUGCGAACGGGUGAGUAACGCGUAGGUAACCUGCCUGGUAGCGGGGGAUAACUAUUGGAAACGAUAGCUAAUACCGCAUAACAGUAGAUGUUGCAUGACAUUUGCUUAAAAGGUGCAAUUGCAUCACUACCAGAUGGACCUGCGUUGUAUUAGCUAGUUGGUGAGGUAACGGCUCACCAAGGCGACGAUACAUAGCCGACCUGAGAGGGUGAUCGGCCACACUGGGACUGAGACACGGCCCAGACUCCUACGGGAGGCAGCAGUAGGGAAUCUUCGGCAAUGGACGGAAGUCUGACCGAGCAACGCCGCGUGAGUGAAGAAGGUUUUCGGAUCGUAAAGCUCUGUUGUAAGAGAAGAACGAGUGUGAGAGUGGAAAGUUCACACUGUGACGGUAUCUUACCAGAAAGGGACGGCUAACUACGUG
RNAcentral lists this ribosomal RNA (495 nucleotides) under uncultured bacterium. Its description in RNAcentral is "partial 16S ribosomal RNA". It matches the Rfam family "Bacterial small subunit ribosomal RNA", at positions 28 to 507 of the family's 1533-position model. The record is from RNAcentral.